CCCGGGAGGCGCCCCCGCCCGGGAACCGGCCUGCCCCCUCCCUCCCGGUGCCGCCCGGUGCCGCCCCCGCCAGCCUGGCCGUCGGAGCGCCGCCGGGAGCCCUUGGCCGAGCCCACGCUCGGGCGCGUGGAGGGGCCGGCGGGAGGCCGCGGUCCAGCCCCGCGCGCACUGAAACCCGAGCCGCGGGAUCGAUAACCCGGGAGAAAUCCAUUUCUAGCUUCAGUCCUACGUGCGUGGAGUUGGCGGAAAGUCUCCCACUGGCGGGGAGAUGGGCAGUCAGGAGUCUUCAGCGGAGGCAAGCAGGUUGAAAACUAGCGUGAUGCAAUGCCAGGUCUUCUCCGCCACGUUGGGGAUAAACUGCUUGUAGGCUAAAGGGGUCAGCUUUUUGGGGUUCCGCCUCUUGCCAAAUCCCCUGCCGGGUCCGCACGCCAGCCCCGAGCACAUCAACAGCGAGGAGACCAGCAGCA
This is a long non-coding RNA of Bubalus bubalis (water buffalo), 467 nucleotides long. RefSeq lists it as uncharacterized. The transcript is spliced from 4 exons. NCBI's taxonomy places the organism in Eukaryota, Metazoa, Chordata, Mammalia, Artiodactyla, Bovidae. The record is from RefSeq and is a predicted model, not a curated record.